UAGGGAAUAUUGGACAAUGGGUGAGAGCCUGAUCCAGCCAUGCCGCGUGCAGGAAGAAGGCGUUAUGCGUUGUAAACCGCUUUUGCCAGGGGAUAAAAUGACCGUGCGCGGUUAAUUGAAGGUACCUGGUGAAUAAGCCACGGCUAACUACGUGCCAGCAGCCGCGGUAAUACAGAGGGUGCAAGCGUUAAUCGGAAUUACUGGGCGUAAAGCGCAUGUAGGUGGUUGCAUAAGUUUGAUGUGAAAGCCCCGGGCUUAACCUGGGAAUGGCGUUGAAGACUGUGGAACUAGAGUCGGACAGAGGGUCGUGGAAUUUCCGGUGUAGCGGUGAAAUGCGUAGAGAUCGGAAAGAACACCAGUGGCGAAGGCGGCGACCUGGGUCCAGACUGACACUGAGGUGCGAAAGCAUGGGGAGCAAACAGGAUUAGAUACCCGCGUAGUCCCUGAGCGGGCUGGCAAGGCGCAU
Molecule: ribosomal RNA, 466 nt
Filed under: uncultured bacterium
Lineage: Bacteria
Description: bacterial SSU rRNA
Rfam family: Bacterial small subunit ribosomal RNA
Source: RNAcentral